Molecule: small RNA, 107 nt
Filed under: Marmota monax (woodchuck)
Lineage: Eukaryota; Metazoa; Chordata; Mammalia; Rodentia; Sciuridae
Source: RNAcentral
GCCAGGUGUGGUGAUGCACACCUGUAAUCCCAGCUACUUGGGAGACUAAGGCAGGAGCAUUGCAAAUUUGAGGUCAGCCUUGGCAAUUUAGCAAGACCCUGCCUCAA